RNAcentral lists this ribosomal RNA (466 nucleotides) under uncultured bacterium. RNAcentral describes it as "partial 16S ribosomal RNA". It matches the Rfam family "Bacterial small subunit ribosomal RNA", at positions 339 to 795 of the family's 1533-position model. The record is from RNAcentral.
CUACGGGUGGCUGCAGUGAGGAAUUUUGCGCAAUGGGCGAAAGCCUGACGCAGCAACGCCGCGUGAGUGAUGAAGGCCUUCGGGUCGUAAAGCUCUGUCAAGCGGGAAGAAACCGUUCCCGGUCAACACCCGGGGGCGCUGACGGUACCGCUGAAGGAAGCACCGGCUAACUCCGUGCCAGCAGGCCGCGGUAAUACGGAGGGUGCGAGCGUUAUUCGGAAUUAUUGGGCGUAAAGGGCGCGCAGGCGGCCCUGCAAGUCGGAGGUGAAAGCCCGGGGCUCAACCCCGGAAGUGCAUUCGAUACUGCAGGGCUUGAGUAUGGGAGAGGGAAGUGGAAUUCCUGGUGUAGAGGUGAAAUUCGUAGAUAUCAGGAGGAACACCGGUGGCGAAGGCGACUUCCUGGACCAAUACUGACGCUGAGGCGCGAAGGCGUGGGGAGCAAACAGGAUUAGAUACCCUCGUAGUC